AUUGAACGCUGGCGGCGUGCCUAACACAUGCAAGUCGAGCGGUAACAGGUGUAGCAAUACAUGCUGACGAGCGGCGAACGGGUGAGUAAUGCUUUGGAAUCUUCCCAGUAGUGGGGAAUAACCAGUCGAAAGAUUGGCUAAUACCGCAUACGUCUGUAAAGGGAAAGCGGGGGACUCGCCUCUUCUUCGGAAGAGAGGCCUCGCGCUAUUGGAUGAGCCAAAGCGGAUUAGCUAGUUGGUGGGGUAAUGGCCUACCAAGGCGACAAUCCGUAGCUGGUCUGAGAGGACGACCAGCCACACCGGAACUGAGACACGGUCCGGACUCCUACGGGGGGCAGCAGUGGGGAAUAUUGGACAAUGGGGAACCCUGAUCCAGCGACGCCGCGUGUGUGAAGAAGGCC
This 401-nucleotide ribosomal RNA is filed under the name uncultured bacterium. RNAcentral's name for it is "bacterial SSU rRNA". It matches the Rfam family "Bacterial small subunit ribosomal RNA", at positions 30 to 416 of the family's 1533-position model. The record is from RNAcentral.